RNAcentral lists this ribosomal RNA (678 nucleotides) under Triticum aestivum (bread wheat). Its description in RNAcentral is "partial small subunit ribosomal RNA". The record is from RNAcentral. Lineage: Eukaryota; Viridiplantae; Streptophyta; Magnoliopsida; Poales; Poaceae.
AUGCGAGGAUUUCUGCACAAAGAUAUCUGUGAUGCACUUCUGCAGCUUGGUAGUUUUUUCCGCCAAUUAUGCUCCAAGACAUUGAAGCUGGAUAUCUUGGAUAAGUUGGAACAACAAAUAGUAAUUGUAUUGUGCAAACUAGAAAUGAUUCUCCCACCUGCAUUCUUUGAUAUUAGCGUGCACUUAGCAGUGCAUCUACCACAGCAAGCAAGGCUUGGAGGUCCUGUACAAUACAGAUGGAUGUUCUUCAUUGAAAGGUUCCUUGGUACUUUGAAAGGCAUGGUGAGCAAUAGGGCACACCCAGAGGGUUCAAUUGCUGAAGCUUAUGUUAUGAAGGGGUGCUCAACAUUCUGGUCCAUGUAUCUACAUGGAAUUGAGACAAGGUUCAAUAGACAAGAGCGGAAUUUUGAUGGGGAGAGACAACCACUUGAUCGUUUCUCGGUAUUCUCAACUAGUUUCCGUGCUUUUGGCCAUAGGGAUGACCUUAUGUUAACACAAGAUCAGUAUGAUUCUCUGUCUUGGUAUGUGCUAAAUAAUUGUGAGGAACUACAAGAAUACCUAUAUGAGCAUGAGGAUGCCCUACUGGCUGAAGGUGCGGAUAAUAUUGAAAAUAGGCAACGUGAACAGUUUGGUUCAUGGCUGUGCCAAAGAGUAAGUCCAUGCUAUUACUUGAGUUAA